Long non-coding RNA from Hipposideros armiger (great roundleaf bat), 633 nucleotides. RefSeq lists it as uncharacterized. The record is from RefSeq and is a predicted model, not a curated record. Lineage: Eukaryota; Metazoa; Chordata; Mammalia; Chiroptera; Hipposideridae. The transcript has 3 exons.
UGCUGAGAGAGCGGAGCAGGGCCCGCAGCUGAGGGCCCAUCUCUGGAGGUUCCGGUUCCUGGGAUGUGCCUGGAACUCUGGGUAGCCCUAAUCCUGCAGCUUCAGGCCUGAGAGGCACCAUCAGAAUGAAAUCCCUGAAGGCCACUGCCACCCAGGCCCAAGUUCUCACCUGGACGCCAGCUUUCCCCAGCCCCAGGGACAGGAAGCUUGGCUUGCCCUGCUUGGCCCAGGCCCCAUCAUGGCAGGUACCUCUGGGCAUCCCCCCAACAUUGCCCAGAGCUCUCAACCGAGCUCCCCGGGCCCAGCACCAGCCCUGGCGAAGGCACUGCUGCCCACAUGGUCCCUGAGGUUGAAACCAUGGUGUCGCGCUGUGGCCUCCACUCACCCACCACCCACCACCGCACCAUCCUCACCACGACUGGGCAGCUUCCCUAGAUGCCUCUGGGGACUGUCAGACCACAGCAGAAGCCAGGUGGGGACAGGACAGGAGGCGCUGUCAGCCUCUGGGGUCCCUCUGCUGCUAUGAACAGUGGGUGGGCUCUGCUCCACUCUCUCUCCUGGUGGGCUGCAGGGCUGCAGAACUAGAAACAAAAGGGGCUGUCAGCCUUCGGCGUCAAAGGCGUGCCCUCCUGC